AACGAACGCUGGCGGCAGGCUUAACACAUGCAAGUCGAACGCCCCUUUCGGGGGGAGUGGCAGACGGGUGAGUAACGCGUGGGAACGUGCCCUUCAGUUCGGAAUAACCCAGGGAAACUUGGGCUAAUACCGGAUACGUGCGAGAGCAGAAAGAUUUAUCGCUGAAGGAUCGGCCCGCGUCUGAUUAGCUAGUUGGUGGGGUAAUGGCCCACCAAGGCGACGAUCAGUAGCUGGUCUGAGAGGAUGAUCAGCCACAUUGGGACUGAGACACGGCCCAAACUCCUACGGGAGGCAGCAGUGGGGAAUAUUGGACAAUGGGCGCAAGCCUGAUCCAGCCAUGCCGCGUGAGUGAUGAAGGCCUUAGGGUUGUAAAGCUCUUUCAGUGGGGACGAUAAUGACGGUACCCGCAG
RNAcentral lists this ribosomal RNA (410 nucleotides) under unidentified bacterium TMB831. Its description in RNAcentral is "bacterial SSU rRNA". It matches the Rfam family "Bacterial small subunit ribosomal RNA", at positions 29 to 484 of the family's 1533-position model. The record is from RNAcentral.